RNAcentral lists this long non-coding RNA (632 nucleotides) under Malus domestica (apple). RNAcentral's name for it is "long non-coding RNA (MDOM_LNC015053)". The record is from RNAcentral. Lineage: Eukaryota; Viridiplantae; Streptophyta; Magnoliopsida; Rosales; Rosaceae.
AUCUGCCUCCUUCCAUCUCAACCAUUAAAUCUCCUAUCCGACGAUAUUAAAUCUCUUAAGAUCUAAACUGUGCUUCACGUGCUUCUAAGAAAAUCAGGAGGAUCCUCUCCGGUUCCUCUUUAUGAGGAUCAUGGGAAUCCUUAAAUCGUGUUCGUUUAUUGUAUAUCGUGCGGUCAGUUUUCAUCAGAUACUAUUCAUAUUUAAUUUAAAAUAAAAGUAUUUAAAAUGAUUUCUGACCGAACAAUAUCUGAUGAACGGACACAAUUUGAGGAUCCCCAAGAUCCUCUCUGGUUCCUCUUUAUGAGGAUCCUGGGAAUCUUUAAAUUGUGUUCGUUCAUUGUAUAUUGGACGGUCAAUUUUUGUCAGAUACUAUUCAAAUUUAAUUUAAAAUAAAAGUAUUUAAAAUGAUUUUUGACCGAACGAUAUCUGAUGAAGGGACACAAUUUGAGAAUCCCCAGGAUCCUCACAAAGAGGAUCUGGAAAGGAUCCUCAUUCCUAAGAAAAGUAAGUCACUUUCUUUGUUUUAAAUUAGUGACAUCAGAGUGAAAUGUUUUAGGUUCAAUUCUUGUCAAAAGAGAAUUUGAACCAAGUUAUUGCUAGCUCAGUGUAAGGCUAAGGCCACCCUCCCCCUU